RNAcentral lists this ribosomal RNA (279 nucleotides) under uncultured bacterium. RNAcentral's name for it is "partial 16S ribosomal RNA". It matches the Rfam family "Bacterial small subunit ribosomal RNA", at positions 506 to 784 of the family's 1533-position model. The record is from RNAcentral.
UGCCAGCAGCCGCGGUAAAACCAGCACCUCAAGUGGUCAGGAUGAUUACUGGGCGUAAAGCGCGCGUAGGCGGAUUGGAAAGUUGGGGGUGAAAUCCCAGGGCUCAACCCUGGAACUGCCUCCAAAACUCCCAGUCUUGAGUUCGAGAGAGGUGAGUGGAACUCCGAGUGUAGAGGUGAAAUUCGUAGAUAUUCGGAGGAACACCAGUGGCGGAGGCGACCACCUGGUACAGUAUUGACGCUGAGAUGCGAAAGCGUGGGGAGCAAACAGGAUUAGAUA